Molecule: non-coding RNA, 644 nt
Organism: Triticum urartu
Lineage: Eukaryota; Viridiplantae; Streptophyta; Magnoliopsida; Poales; Poaceae
Source: RefSeq, a predicted model, not a curated record
UGACCAGCACCAAGGUAGAUACUGCCAUCGAAGAUGAAGAUGCAAUGGUGUCAUUGUGACAGGUGAAGCAAAAGUAUGUCUUAUGUUUACUUGAUUCCGUAGAUUAAUAUCUCUUUUGGUUGGCAAGAAUGACCUGGACACUGCCCUUCAUGUUUUCGUCAACAAGGCAGACAAUAUGGCAUUUCACUCUUGCCUGAAGAAGAACACCGAAGAGGCAAUAGUAGGCAAAACUACCAAUAUAUUAGACUCCACUCUACCGAUUGAGAACUGAAAAGAAAUUUCUCCACCUGAAUUCGAAGAACAAGUUGACCAUCACCAAGGUAGAUACUGCUGUCGAAGAUGAAGAUGCAAUGGUGUCAUUGUGACAGGUGAAGCAAAAAAAUCCUCACCUUGAAGAAUGAAGCCAAUGGUGAACAAGGAUGUUCUUUCUACCAAAGAACCAGGCCAUGCCGAGGUAGUGGUGUGGUUCGGAUGAUGGUGGUGAGGCUAAAAUAUGGGAGAUGACUUGGAGUUAUUUUAAGCAUGAGUUUUGUACUGGUGUGGUUCCUUAAGUCACCCCUUUCAGGUCAAACCCCUCUAUGUUAUCGAUCACCUUUUUCAUUUUGUGUUCAGUGAUGUGGAAUUUAGUACACUAUUUUUUGCCA